UGAGCAAUCUGCCCUUCUCAUCGGAAUAAGCGUUGGAAACGACGUCUAAUGCCGAAUACGACCUCCUUUCGCAUGAUCGGAGGUGGAAAGCUCCGGCGGAGAAGGAUGAGCUCGCGGCCUAUCAGCUAGUUGGUGUGGGUAACGCCCACCAAGGCGACGACGGGUAGCCGGCCUGAGAGGGUGACCGGCCACACUGGGACUGAGACACGGCCCAGACCUCCUACGGGAGGNGGCAGG
Molecule: ribosomal RNA, 237 nt
Filed under: uncultured bacterium
Lineage: Bacteria
Description: partial 16S ribosomal RNA
Rfam family: Bacterial small subunit ribosomal RNA
Source: RNAcentral